AUGAACCAAUGUUAUUGCUCUGAUAUUCUUUCUCCUGCCUUUAAAAAUUUCUAUAAAAUAUUGAUAAAUUGCAGCAAUAUCGUUGGGAAGGGGGAAGACAGCAGUGGAGGAUAAUGGUGUGGAUCCUGAAGCCUUUUAUUUCUAUGAACAGUUUUUAUUCCCAGUACUCCAGGAGUCCCUCUUACGUCCUUCUCCCAAAGGCAGUCACUCUUGGGAUUUGUGUCUUUAUAGAUUCCUUCUACCUGUUUUUGACCUUUAUGUAAAUUAAUCAUAAAUUAAUUAUGUAAAUUAAUCAUAGAGAAUGAAACUCUUUGGGUCUGGUUUCUUUUGCUUCACAUUACAUUUGUGAGAGUCCCCAUUAUUGAUAUGAGAGGGGAUGGUUCAUUUUGUUUCAUUGCUGCUUGGUGUUCUAUGAUACGAAUAUGCCAUAAUUCACUUAUUUUUUUCUGUCUUGGAAGAACACUUCAGUUCUUUCAGUUUUGGACGAGUCCAGAUAAUACUGCUUUGAACAUCUUUGACGGCUUCUUGGGUGCACAUAUUUAUGUGUAUCUGCCAAAUAGAUACCAGUAGUGGAGUUAAUUGGGUCAUAGUGUGUGUUUUCAGUUUUCAUUAAUACUGUCAAACAUUUCUCCAAAGGGUUUGGGCUAAUUCUGACUCUCUCUUGUUUGUACUAAUCCUGAUUCCAUAAGAGUUCCUUGUACUCCACAUCCUUGCUACCUGCUUGUAUGGCCACGACAUCAAGAUAUUGACUAUUGACUACUUACUGGAAAUUAUAGUAAGUGUUGCAGGAAAUAAAGUGUAUGAUGUGGUUUCUGUCUUUGAGCUUUUCCUAACGUAGGUGGAAUGACUAAAAUUGAAGAAUGACCCAGGCAGUAUAUACUAAAAUGCUAAAUUAUAGGAUUAAGCUAAAAGCCACAUUUAUUAUUUUUUAUGAUUUAGUUUUGGUUGCUAUUUUGUCUUCUUUUAAAAAUGUGUAAGCAAUAGGAGGCAGAACUAGUCUUAAUGGAAAAAUAAGUGAAUGGGUUAAUCCAAACAUUUGAUCAAUUUGUUUCAGUAUGUCUCAAGCUCAUAGUAAGUUUUUAUUUUUUUGUAAGAUUCUUCUUUGUAAAUGUAUGAAUAUUUCUAAGAAAGUAUUCCUAUGUCAGCAAAUAGAGGUAAAAGGAAUUUAUAUUAACCAAAAUGCUACCUCUUUUCCACAAUCUUGCAGAUUAGGGAAAGGCUUUAUCCAUCAUUUCUGAUAUAUAUGUCAUCCAGGCCACCUUUCAUCACCCUUCUGAUGAGAAGCACGCAAUUAUUAUAGCUUUGCUUGUAAGUUCUUCUCUAGGUUUAUUAAAAACCUUUGAGCCAGGCACUAUGCUAAAUGCUGACAUAUAUUAUAUACUCAAAAUGGCUCUGAGAUAUACAGACUAGUAUUAGCCUCUUUAUAUUGAAAAGGAAGCAGGUUCAGGGUAGUUAAGUAACUUGUUUGGGAGUUUCAGAUGAUUCUGUGUGAAACUCAGUUGGUUGGCAUGAAACUGGGCAUGUGACAAGCUUUCAGUAAAGCAGCUAAAUGACUAACCCACCACCAAUGGGUCUGAUCUUCACUUUAUGAAGCCAUAUCUAUCUAUCUGCUCCCUGUUUUACGUAGGUGUAUGGUCCUAUGCAAGACAAUUAAGCUUGUCCUUUCACUUCUUUAUUUAGCAAAUAUGGAUAUAAUAUCUGAAGAUCUUCUUAGUUGGGGUUUGAUGAGGUUAAAUUCAGUACUGUAAAAUGAAAGCCAAUUGCACUUGUGCGUGAAGGCUAUUGUGUGAAUGGUUUGGGAAUAUCUGGGAAGAUUUCUCAAGAGAGCAUCUUAAGGCCACUUUUGAAGAAGGGGGUAGAAUGGAAUUUUGAAAUUUGUCAUUCAGUGAAGUCCAGAAAAAAAAAAACACCCUAGAAAUUAGAUAGAAUCGUUUCUUCUCAUAUUAAAAUCCUCCUAUGGCAAGGGUAUUUUUCAGUCUUAAAUGAACUCUCUAGAAUAAGAAGUAAGGAAGCCUAGUAUUUGAAACUAGGUCUUAUUUACCCAGCUGAGUAAAAUCCCAGUUUAUCUAGCAUAGUACCCUGGUAUUAUUACAGAGCCGCUUGGCACUUGCCUGCUAGGAUAUGAGAAGCUGCCGACAAUAUGAAUGGUGAGUCUCUUACACUUCUCGGUAAGAUGUUUGGCAGGGUUAGAAAAUGUCACUUGCAUCUUCCUUAAUGUUUGUGGAAUUAGCUAUUAAGGAAGGAGGUGUAUUCCCAGCUCUCUCUCGUUUUUCUUGUUUUUCUUCAGUUACACCCUUCAGGUGCUGCUGCUGUUUCUCCCUUCCUGAACCAAACUACCAGCUAACACAUUACAACAGGGGAUGGUAUAGUGGUUGAGAACACAGAGCCAGGCUGCCUGGUCUUGAAAUUAAAAUAUGCGAACUUCCAUAUGUUGCAGUUCCAGUUAAGGUCAAGAUAUUUAACUUCUUAGGACCUUAAUUUCCCUGAUCUGUGAAAUGGGACAAAUUAUAGCAUAUGCCUAAUAUAGCUGUGAGGGUUAAAUGCUUUUAUAUGUUAAGUACUUUACACUGUAAAGUACUUAGAACAGUGUUUCACAUGUAAUAACUAGUGUAUAACUGUUGGCUAUUAAUAUAUGAAGUGUUAAAGAGGAAAAAGAAACUAUUAGUGUCAUAAAAAGGGUUUUUUUGUGUGUGUGAUGUUACAUCUAGGUUCAAUCUUCAUGUGAGCACUUUUUUUUUUAAGAUAUAAGGGGAAGAGAUGAUAUAAACGAAGAAUCAAAGUAUAUUUUUUAAAAAAGUCUGAAAUAUUUUUAAAAACUGUAGAUCCUGGAGUUUCUGUCAUGGCUCAGUGGUUAACGAGUCUGACUAGGAACCAUGAGGUUGUGGAUUUGAUCCCUGGCCUUGCUCAGUGGGUUGAGGAUUUGGCAUUGCCAUGAGCUGUGGUGUAGGUUGCAGAUGCGGCUCUGAUCUGGCAUAGGCCAGUAGCUACAGCUCUGAUUGGACCCAUAGGCUGGGAACCUCCAUAUGCCCUGGGAUCGGCCCUAGAAAAGGC
Molecule: long non-coding RNA, 3051 nt
Filed under: Sus scrofa (pig)
Lineage: Eukaryota; Metazoa; Chordata; Mammalia; Artiodactyla; Suidae
Description: lncRNA (ENSSSCG00000059983.1)
Source: RNAcentral